RNAcentral lists this ribosomal RNA (424 nucleotides) under uncultured bacterium. Its description in RNAcentral is "bacterial SSU rRNA". It matches the Rfam family "Bacterial small subunit ribosomal RNA", at positions 358 to 773 of the family's 1533-position model. The record is from RNAcentral.
GGAAUUGUUCGCAAUGGGCGCAAGCCUGACGACGCAACGCCGCGUGGAGGACGAAGAUCUUCGGGUCGUAAACUCCUGUCGAGCGGGACGAACACCUUCCGGGUGAACAAUCCGGGAGGCUGACGGUACCGCCAAAGGAAGCCCCGGCUAACUCCGUUCCAGCAGCCGCGGUAAUACGGGGGGGGCAAGCGUUGUUCGGAAUUCCUGGGCGUAAAGGGCGCGUAGGCGGCCAACUAAGUCGGACGUGAAAUCCCCCGGCUCAACCGGGGAACUGCGUCCGAUACUGGAUGGCUUGAAUCCGGGAGAGGGAUGCGGAAUUCCAGGUGUAGCGGUGAAAUGCGUAGAUAUCUGGAGGAACACCGGUGGCGAAGGCGGCAUCCUGGACCGGCAUUGACGCUGAGGAGCGAAAGCCAGGGGAGCAAAC